CUGUUCUUUUCUCUUUCAUAGCUUUGUACAUUCAUACUGAUUAUCCUGAUGGACCUGGUCUUUUUCUUUACUGAGGAUUGAACCACAAAUUGUGACACUGAUCUUAGAAAAACAUGGUUUGGACUUCACAACAAACGCUAUAACAUCACUUCGUAAUGAAAUCGCUGAUUUAAGAGCAGAGAAUGUAAACCUGAAGAUGGAAGUGAAUGAUUUAAGGUGGAUAGCAAAGUAGGGAAGAACGAACUGCCAAGACAUCUGCGCCUAAUACAGACAAAAUGGACCACAAAUGAACACACACAACCCAAAAAACAUCAGGAAUCAGGCAGCAGAAAUAAUCAAGAUUUAAGACGUGGUUUGGCCAUCACACCUGACUCCUCCUGUUCCGGAGCACAAAUUCA
Colossoma macropomum (tambaqui) is the source of this 398-nucleotide long non-coding RNA. RefSeq lists it as uncharacterized. The record is from RefSeq and is a predicted model, not a curated record. The transcript has 6 exons. NCBI's taxonomy places the organism in Eukaryota, Metazoa, Chordata, Actinopteri, Characiformes, Serrasalmidae.